RNAcentral lists this ribosomal RNA (770 nucleotides) under Microbacterium maritypicum. RNAcentral describes it as "bacterial SSU rRNA". It matches the Rfam family "Bacterial small subunit ribosomal RNA", at positions 43 to 824 of the family's 1533-position model. Lineage: Bacteria; Bacillati; Actinomycetota; Actinomycetes; Micrococcales; Microbacteriaceae. The record is from RNAcentral.
CGUGCUUAACACAUGCAAGUCGAACGGUGAACACGGAGCUUGCUCUGUGGGAUCAGUGGCGAACGGGUGAGUAACACGUGAGCAACCUGCCCCUGACUCUGGGAUAAGCGCUGGAAACGGCGUCUAAUACUGGAUAUGUGACGUGACCGCAUGGUCUGCGUCUGGAAAGAAUUUCGGUUGGGGAUGGGCUCGCGGCCUAUCAGCUUGUUGGUGAGGUAAUGGCUCACCAAGGCGUCGACGGGUAGCCGGCCUGAGAGGGUGACCGGCCACACUGGGACUGAGACACGGCCCAGACUCCUACGGGAGGCAGCAGUGGGGAAUAUUGCACAAUGGGCGCAAGCCUGAUGCAGCAACGCCGCGUGAGGGAUGACGGCCUUCGGGUUGUAAACCUCUUUUAGCAGGGAAGAAGCGAAAGUGACGGUACCUGCAGAAAAAGCGCCGGCUAACUACGUGCCAGCAGCCGCGGUAAUACGUAGGGCGCAAGCGUUAUCCGGAAUUAUUGGGCGUAAAGAGCUCGUAGGCGGUUUGUCGCGUCUGCUGUGAAAUCCGGAGGCUCAACCUCCGGCCUGCAGUGGGUACGGGCAGACUAGAGUGCGGUAGGGGAGAUUGGAAUUCCUGGUGUAGCGGUGGAAUGCGCAGAUAUCAGGAGGAACACCGAUGGCGAAGGCAGAUCUCUGGGCCGUAACUGACGCUGAGGAGCGAAAGGGUGGGGAGCAAACAGGCUUAGAUACCCUGGUAGUCCACCCCGUAAACGUUGGGAACUAGUUGUG